UUAAAAAUGAGAUUUUUCAUUAUGUGGUCAAGUUGGCAUCCAUUGUAUUUGUUCUUAUUAUAAAAAAAUAUGAAGUUUUUCAUUAUAUGGCAAAUUAGCACCCUUCGAUGGACGUCAAUCAUUAGAGUUGUUCUUAUGAUACGUGAAAAGAAUACAAAUAUUUGUGUGCUUCUGAUAAAGAGCUAACAAGAAUAUUUGCAGACAACAAUCUUGUGAUUCCAUGGUACUGCAGAUAACACAGUAUUGUUCGAAGCUGGACAAGCAGGUUCCAUUGCUUGAUCAGGCUGGAAUGAGCUGGAGUUCAAGAUGCACUAAACAUUUGGAAAUAUACGGCAAACGAGGGCUCCAGUAUUUAGAAUCAUGAAUGAAGCCUCCGUGUAGGGUAAAAUCUGCGUACAUUUCUGAGCAAGGCUAUGGUGGAUUGAUCUAUGGACUUGGCCAACUGACAAUCAAACGAAUUUUCGUAUGUGAGACUACAUUUGUUCUAAGGGUCAGGCAUUUACAGGUAGAGACGAGGACGAUGACUUUAUGGGAAUGCAAAUUUUCAAGCGUUCCAGUAUGGCUUUUCCGCUGACAAGCCCUGUGUGAAGAGUCAAUGGAAGUCCUUCCUUGACACACUCGUCGUAUUUCUCCAGAGCAGAUACGAUGGCGCUGAAAUCUGGGCGUUUGGCUGGAUUUGCAGCCCAGCAGUGCUUUAUCAGAUGUGCAAGCGCGGGUAGACAGCUUGGUGGCAUUGGGGGUCGCUCGUUCUGCAGAAUUUGUAAAAUGUAGUAGGAAAGUAAGCAUCAAGAUUCAAUAGUUCUGAUUAUUAUUAUUUUUAUUUUUUUGAGAA
This is a long non-coding RNA of Daucus carota subsp. sativus, 832 nucleotides long. RefSeq lists it as uncharacterized. Lineage: Eukaryota; Viridiplantae; Streptophyta; Magnoliopsida; Apiales; Apiaceae. The record is from RefSeq and is a predicted model, not a curated record. The transcript has 3 exons.